Molecule: ribosomal RNA, 527 nt
Filed under: uncultured Sphingobacteriales bacterium
Lineage: Bacteria; Pseudomonadati; Bacteroidota; Sphingobacteriia; Sphingobacteriales
Description: bacterial SSU rRNA
Rfam family: Bacterial small subunit ribosomal RNA
Source: RNAcentral
AGGGUUUGUCCUGGCUAGGAUGACGCUAGCGGCAGGUUUAUACUGCAAGUCGGAGGUAAAUCGGUGCUCGCCCAGACACGAGCGGCGCACGGGUGCGUAACGCGUACCAAUUACCUUUACUAGAGUAAGCCCAGAGAAUUUGGAUAUCCUUAUAAAUCUAUUAUCUCAUGAUUUUAGAUAAAGUUUUAACGGUAAAGUGGGCAUGCGUCUUAUUAGUUUGUAGGUGAGGUAAUGGCUCACCUAGACUACGAUAGGUAGGGGCCCUGAGAGGGGGAUCUUUCACACUGGUACUGAGACACGGACCAGACUCCUACGGGAGGCAGCAGUAAGGAAUAUUGGACAAUGGACGAAAGUCUGAUCCAGCCAUGCCGCGUGCAGGAUGACGGCCCUAUGGGUUGUAAACUUGCUUUAUACAGGAAGAAACACUCCGACGUGUCGGAACUUUGACGGUACUGUAAGUAAUAAGGGAUCGGCUAAACUUCCGUGCCCAGCCCGCCCGCGGUAAUUUCAAUCACUUAGUGAAAUUC